UACAGAGGGUGCAAGCGUUAAUCGGAAUUACUGGGCGUAAAGCGUGCGUAGACGGUUACAUAAGUCGGGUGUGAAAGCCCCGGGCUCAACCUGGGAAUUGCAUUCGAGACUGCGUAGCUAGGGUGCGGAAGAGGGAAGCGGAAUUUCCGGUGUAGCGGUGAAAUGCGUAGAUAUCGGAAGGAACACCAGUGGCGAAAGCGGCUUCCUGGUCCAGCACCGACGUUCAGGCACGAAAGCGUGGGGAGCAAACAGGG
RNAcentral lists this ribosomal RNA (254 nucleotides) under uncultured bacterium. RNAcentral describes it as "partial 16S ribosomal RNA". It matches the Rfam family "Bacterial small subunit ribosomal RNA", at positions 524 to 777 of the family's 1533-position model. The record is from RNAcentral.